AGUGAACGCUGGCGGUAGGCCUAACACAUGCAAGUCGAACGACAGCACAGUAAGAGCUUGCUCUUACGGGUGGCGAGUGGCGGACGGGUGAGGAAUACAUCGGAAUCUACUUUUUCGUUGGGGAUAACGUCGGGAAACUUACGCUAAUACCGCAUACGACCUUCGGGUGAAAGCAGGGGAUCUUCGGACCUUGCGCGAUUGAAUGAGCCGAUGUCGGAUUAGCUAGUUGGCGGGGUAAAGGCCCACCAAAGCGACGAUCCGUAGGUGGUCUGACAGGAAGAUCAGCCACACUGGAACUGAGAAACGGUCCAGACUCCGACGGGAGGCAGCAGUGGGGAAUAUUGGACAAUGGGCGCAAGCCUGAUCCAGCCAUACCGCGUAGGUGAAGAAGGCCUUCGGGUUGUAAAGCCCUUUUGUUGGGAAAGAAAAGCAGCAGGUUAAUACCCCGCUGUUCUGACGGUACCCAAAGAAUAAGCACCGGCUAACUUCGUG
RNAcentral lists this ribosomal RNA (492 nucleotides) under uncultured bacterium. Its description in RNAcentral is "partial 16S ribosomal RNA". It matches the Rfam family "Bacterial small subunit ribosomal RNA", at positions 29 to 507 of the family's 1533-position model. The record is from RNAcentral.